UACGUAGGCAGCAAGCGUUGUUCGGAGUUACUGGGCGUAAAGGGUGUGUAGGCGGUUCUUUAAGUUUGGUGUGAAAUCUCCCGGCUCAACUGGGAGGGUGCGCCGAAUACUGAGGGACUAGAGUACGGGAGAGGAAAGUGGAAUUCCUGGUGUAGCGGUGAAAUGCGUAGAUAUCAGGAGGAACACCGGUGGUGUAGACGGCUUUCUGGACCGACACUGACGCUGAGACACGAAAGCGUGGGUAGCAAAC
RNAcentral lists this ribosomal RNA (250 nucleotides) under uncultured bacterium. RNAcentral's name for it is "partial 16S ribosomal RNA". It matches the Rfam family "Bacterial small subunit ribosomal RNA", at positions 524 to 773 of the family's 1533-position model. The record is from RNAcentral.